Small nuclear RNA from Rattus rattus (black rat), 106 nucleotides. The record is from RefSeq and is a predicted model, not a curated record. Lineage: Eukaryota; Metazoa; Chordata; Mammalia; Rodentia; Muridae.
GUGCUCCCCUCAGCAGCACAGGUACUAAAAUUGGAACAACACACACAAGGUUAACAUUCCCUUCCAUAAGUAUGAUGUGCAAAUUUGUGAAGUGGUCCAUAUAUAU